Small nucleolar RNA from Pogoniulus pusillus (Red-fronted tinkerbird), 77 nucleotides. RefSeq annotates it as small nucleolar RNA SNORD101. NCBI's taxonomy places the organism in Eukaryota, Metazoa, Chordata, Aves, Piciformes, Lybiidae. The transcript has a single exon. The record is from RefSeq and is a predicted model, not a curated record.
GUUUGAGUGAUGACUUCUAGUAAUUAGUCGGAUACCCCUUCACUCGUCGUAUGAGUGAAAACAACAGUCUGACAAAC